GUUCUUCAAGUUCCUGCAACAACUGGUCAGAUAUGCAAGAGCAGAAUCACUGAAGGCCGAGCAUCCGCUGAUGUUAAGUUUCAUAAGGUUGGGGCAUCCAUGGGCUAAUGCAUACAAGGAAGAAUCACUGAGCCUAAGGCUUUUGCAAAGAUCUAAAUCCAAUAGAUCAUGACAGUAAUUUGCAAUUGCCUCGACAGCAUUGUCCUCAAGUUGAGGUCUAUUU
Molecule: unclassified non-coding RNA, 223 nt
Filed under: Hevea brasiliensis (rubber tree)
Lineage: Eukaryota; Viridiplantae; Streptophyta; Magnoliopsida; Malpighiales; Euphorbiaceae
Source: RNAcentral